GUAAGUAACUCACACCCCCUAAUUUAUGGGGUUCAGCUUCCCACAGGUCAUUUUCCUCUGAAACCACUUUCCUCUCCAGCUAGCAUCCACUCUCACAGAGCAAUGCGCCUGGCCCAAGAAGGAAUGUCGUGGUGAGCCUGGUCUGAGUGGCCUCGCACCCAGGCCGGCAUUACCCAGGGCUCCCCGCACCUCCCUCAAGGCUCCAUCGAGUGUGCUUGGCACUGCCCGUCAAGAACAAGCACAGGAUCUGAACAGACCAUGUAUCGACCUUCCCUGGCCAGCGUUCAGAGCCGUCUUGGUUUCCGCUGUUGCUGUUGGCCCGAGUUGCUGGCACACGAUGGGAGCCGUGCCUUGAAAAGCAGCAGAGAUCAGAGGAAACCAAGUGGAGCUUUUGGAGCAACAGAGAAGACAGGUCUGCAGAGCAGAGGCGCUCUGAGGCCAACAGAAGGAAGGAAGAAACACGGGCUCCUCUGCCUCUGGGUCACAACCAGCUCACAAAUACCGGUUCAUUCACACACAUGCACACACUCACACACACUCAUACACGAUGGAAUCUCUUCCCUGAACCCCCACUGCCCUCCUCCUUCACCUCCUGCCCCCCCGACACACACACACACAAAGAAGCAAUCUGGUGCAGAAUAACGAUUCCAAAUUCAGAGGCUUGUGUGUAGCUUUGUUCCCACCUGAAGGAAGGACAGGGGGCAGCUAAGAAGUUACUUGGAGAACCGGACUAGGUGGUAUGGCACAAGGUCCUCGUGAGACACACACGUCAGCAGUGGUUCUUAACCCCUUUGAGCGUAUAAUUAUCACAAACGUCCCCCUGCCUGCCAAUCCUCGUCCCAGAGAAAUGUCCAGACACGUAACAUUUCUGUGCAAGAUCAGGCCCUUCUGAAGCCGAGAGCGGACCAUGGAUUACAGGUCCAGGAUCCCAGCUCUGGAGCAGUCAGUCCCCGCAAGCAGGAAGCAGAAUUGCCAAGCACACAGCCCGUCCCCCUUCAGCACUCCAGCACCCCUUGACUGGCAGGUCUCGGCAACGCAGAGCCUCCCACUGCCAUGCCCCCCACACUCACUGCGAGCUGCCCUUUUAAACUUGCGACCCCUGGCUUUUCUCAGAAAAGGCUCUGCAUCUCACCAUC
This is a long non-coding RNA of Equus caballus (horse), 1136 nucleotides long. The record is from Ensembl. NCBI's taxonomy places the organism in Eukaryota, Metazoa, Chordata, Mammalia, Perissodactyla, Equidae.